AUUGAGGGUUGUUCAAUGAGGCCAAUUGUCCGCAUAAAUACAGGCUACUCCCUCGGUAAUAUGAUACCAUUCUAAUACUGGCAUUAAUUGAUUCUGGGGCGUUAAAAUCAGUGGGGCAUCAUACCUAGGACCAGAUUUUUUGAGACGCCAAUGUGCUAAUCUUACUUUCGACAGAGAACAGGAGAUGGCCCGCACAUUUUUUGAGGAUCGUUAAACACCUCGGAAUACUGCUGGAUGCACGGUAUCCAUGGCAGAACGUGUCCCAUAUCAGCGCUGUACUCGUCCAGCCAUCCCCACACCCAUGGCGUAGGCAUGCAGCUAGUAGACCGGGGCUCUCUUGAAAACUAGAUUUUUUACUAAAGGUUGAAAACUACUACUACUACUACGACAACAACUAUUACUACUACUACAAUAACUAUUACCAUUACUACUACUAAUAAUAAUAAUAAUGAUGAUGAUGAUGAUGAUGACGAUAAUAAUAAUAAUAAUAAUAAUAAUUAUUAUUAUUAUUAUUACACCAAUAGUACAAACUGAUGGACGCUACAAAAUGUUUAUGCUUGCUUCUGUUUAUUUAUUUCAAGGUUCAAAGGCUUUAUUUGUCACGUGCAUAUGCAUGUACAUACAGUGAAAUGCUGGAAAUGUAUUGGUCUGUGAACAGCAGAGGAGAGUUUCUAUUGCCUAAAGGUAUUCCUGUUCGGCCACAGAGAAAAACAGGAAAUAUAAAUUGUUUACCCAAAGGUCUUGGUUACGCAUCAAUAACUGUUGAAUCCUAUGAAGACUUUGGUAUGGACCAUUAGUUCCCUCUAGUGGAUACAUGAAAUUGAACCAUGAAUUUUGCAUGUUCAUUUUGGAAAAGACUGCAGGCAAAAAAUAGCAAUGACUCCGCGCUGUCCAUGCUGGCAUACACGGCGUUGAGCAAUUUAGCGCACCCGCUGAAUUGCCUUGUAAAGGAAUUAUUUGCAAUUUACGCUGUUUUUACUGGCUCAUGACACCAUAUAUUACCUCAACAGUGAGUAUUGUAUCCCAAAAUUGUUGUCUCGUUGUGCAUCUGUAUAUCAUUAAGGGCAACAUCCUAGGGCAACAUUUCAUUAAUUAAAUAUUGAAUCUCAGGUUAAUAAUUUGGAAAUUAGCUAAUUUAAGGGAAAAUUGUUUUCUUAAGUACAAUAUAUGGCCUAGACUAGUAAUAUUUGAUACUUUCCUGCAAUUUGUAUUUUAAAUAUAUGCAUUGUAUAGAGAAUGAAUUGUUACUUUUUUGUGAGCCAUUAAUUUUUGUAUAUGCCCAAUAGGUGGGAUAGGACACAUAUAUCCAUUUCAUGCUAUUUCACCCUGUCAAAGUCCUAAAUAUAAGGACAAAUUCUUAAAGGGGUUUAAAUAAGAAAUUUCUGUGGUUUUAAAGUAUUAUUUAAUGGAAUUAUUCCUAAAAAUCACCAUAUUGGCGAUACUGGUAGCCAGUGUUUGAUAAAUCUUUCAGACAGCCUGAGGUUGUUCUGAAAAUGUCAGACUAAAACCAGACUUGCAUAUUUGCAUUUUUAAAAUACCAAAAAAAAACCAUUUUAACAAGCUACCAAACAAGUGGCUCAUCGUAGACUGAAGCCAGUGCAGAUUAAAGGAGUUCUUUCAAAGGGUGUUCCAAAUUGGCUUCAUGGUGGAAUGUGAAAAACAUGUUUGAACCAGAAUCUCUGAGAUUAGGGCUCCCCCAGGAAACAAUGUUGGGACAUAAAUGACCUUGACAGUCGUUAGCAACACAGUAGUUAAACUUGCCAUUGACACAAAAUUGCCUGGCAAACCAUUUGGAGAAAAAUCAAGAGCACCUAAAUUGUUUCCAGAAUUAGGCAACAUUUAGAAAAACUGUCCAGUCAUGGACAUUACAGUUUAAUUAGGGCACAGAAGCACUUGCAGGUGAUGUCAGGAGUCAUGAGAUGUUUGCGGUGAUGCUUGUAUAGUGCAGGAUAUACUCCCGGCAUUAGGGUGUGCCUGUAUGGGCUAAAUGGCUUGAUCUCAUCAUAAAACAUUAUUAUGCACAUAUUAUACAGAGACUUGAAUUUAGAGAGUAUUUCUGAAUGGCUGCGUAGUACUCUAUCGUGAUUUAUAGAGUAGGUAUAUGAUUUACAGAGCACCCUUAGUGUACCCCCUAAGUGGUAUGAAAGGGAUUCAGUCAUGGUGUACCAGCCUUAUGUGCAGUCUCUCUCUCAGGAAAAGUUUGCUGGGGAUGCCUCAUUGCCCCGUGAUUUAAUACCUCUCCAAGUCUUCCUGUUCCCUCCCCAGGUUUUUACGUUCAGGACUUGGGAAUUAUUAAUGACGGAGGAUGUGCCUCUCUUUUAAUUACAAACAAACCCUGUGAUGCUCAGUGUGGGAAAACUAAUAGCCUUAAUCUUGGAAGAUUAAUUUCCCUGCUAGCUCUUACCUGAGAGCUGUUAUAUGCAGCGGUUCUUUUUUCUUCUUCUUUUUUUUUACGCACUGACAUUAUUAAUGACAUGGCCCCUGACAGGAAUAAGUGCAGCCUGAAUAACUGAACUUGUUUAAGCAAGCGUUAUUAUUGCUAUCAUUAAUUUUAUGAACACAUUGACUUCCAAAUACAUUGACCACGGUGCAUCUGAUAAAAUAACUGCAUCAACAGCAAAUAUACCAAACAAAAAAGGUAUGGUCAUGAAUCACAGCAAUUAAACCGAAUUUUGAUAACUAUGAAUUUCUUCUAUGGCAAAUUCUUGCAAAGAAUGUGUCGUAGCCUGAAAAGAAGCCAGAGAGUGGAAUGUAUUUUCACUGAAGGCAACUAAUUAUAUGAACAAAGAGUCUGGAGAAAUAGAGCUUCCAUUGUACAUUUUCUUUUCUAUUUUAACGUGAUCAAUUUUCUUGGCCGCACCGCUUAGGUAUUAUGUUUUUCCUGUGACGUUGCCGACUUUAUAUUACAGAAACACAUCCACAGAGGGCAGUAGAGAGGAAUCCAGCUGCUCAUUUGUGAGUCUCAAAGAAAACUGUUUCAAAUCAGAGCUAUAGGUGUCACCGUUGUCCAAUUUAGUACCCUCCCUACUUUGGCUCUGAUUUAAAAUGCUGUGCCUCCAGUCUAUUCCAGACUUUGUGCGCAAUGCACACCCAAAGGUACGAUGCUAUGCUAUGAUUUACAUGAUUUGAUGAUGUGAUGAGAUCACCCAUGCGCAUCCUUUCAAAAGUAAAGUAGCCGAAACAUUCUUCUAGACCUGAAGGGCCCUCGUCCUGAGACGCACCUAUUACAUCCGCUUUCGGACAGCUGUCGUAAGCUGCCUAUGGCAAACGCAGCAUUCUCUUUAAUCCUAACACAAGCCAUAAAGUAGGAUUUACAAUUUACAACUAAAAUUUACAAUUUAGCUAUUUGCCAGACGCUUUUAGUCAAAUCGACUUGCAAAAGUGAAUUUCACGUGGUCAGCAAACACCACUAGAGGCACAGUUAAAACUAUCCAAGUGCCACCUACACCGAUAAAGGGAGAAAAUGUUUUUUAUUUUUAUUUUUUUAAAUCUCAUGUUUAUUAUUUUAUGUCAUUAAGAGUUUUCACAGGUCAUCGCCUACUCAUUUCGCAAAAAAAAAAACGUUCACCACACGUAAAAUUUACAACCUUCAACCUUCAUUUCAGAAUUGAGAUAAGGAGUGGACAACAAUCUGCAGAAAUCUAAGCGUGUUUCGUUUGCAUGGCCUGUUUAGAGAAAUGGCAUA
Molecule: long non-coding RNA, 3685 nt
Organism: Anguilla rostrata (American eel)
Lineage: Eukaryota; Metazoa; Chordata; Actinopteri; Anguilliformes; Anguillidae
Exons: 3
Source: RefSeq, a predicted model, not a curated record